UAUCUAUACAUAUAAUAAAAUCGUAGAAAAGUGCUGUCUGUACAUUGAAAAUAAAAAUAAAAAAAAUAGCAGGGGUUAUUGUUAUGUCGAUGUCGAACCCAAAAAUGUAAUUAACUUUUUUUUUGUCUGUUUGUCUGUUUGUCUGUUUGUCUGUUUGUCUGUUUGUCUGUUUGUCUGUUCGUCUGUGCGCGCUAAUCUCAGAAACGGCUGAUCCGAGUUGGAUGCGGUUUUCACGAAUAUAUUGUGGGAUGCUUAAAUUUACAUUUAGUGUUUGUUUCAUGUCAAUCGGUUCAUAAAUAAAAAAGUUAUGUCAAAUUAAAGAAUCACGUCGAACAUUCUAUGCUUAUACCAUUAAUCUCCGCAACUAUUUGACGGAUUUGGUUGAAAUUUGGUACAGAUAUAGUUUAGAACCUUAGAAAGGACAUAGAUAUAUUUUUAUUUCAAAAAUCAAAAAAUAAAAAUAAGAAAUAAAUUAUUUAUAAAUAAUUCUAUGUCGAUCGUUACACGACUUCGGUUCAUGUUAUUGUUUUAAUUAAUCGAAAAAAAGUAAAUAAAUAGUAAAAAGGUAUGAAAAAAAUAAUAUCAAUAUAAUUAAACUUUUAGUACAAAGAAAAUGCCCGAACGGAGUAUAAAUAAAUAAUCCAAGUUGUCUUUAUCCUCGAUAGAUGGCGUUGGGAUCGAAAUAGAUCGCGCUAUGGUUUCGUUACAUUCAUUUGGUUGGGUAUCGGCCGAGCGCUUCGGUACUAUCGUAGAAAAAGUGUAUUAUUAGUCGUAUGAUUAUUUGUCUGUAGUGGUCCUGCUGUUUCGUAUAUUCUAAAUUGGUUUCGUUGUAUUUGUCAAUUAAUAAGUUUAUUUGUUGGGUUUUCCUGGUUUUUUGGUUAAACUAUUUAACGUAGGUUUAGUUUGAUAUCGAUUAUUAGUAGAUACUGUAGUUAGUUUUUUUAAUAAAAUUGUAAGUCUAAUUUAUUAAUUAAUUAGAUAGAUUAGAUUUAAGUCGUUUCUUUUAAAUUAUUUAGUUUAAGCUUGGUUAUUAUAGCAUAGAGGAUAGGUUGUAAUAUAAUUUAUUUUUUAAUUGUUAUAAAUUCGUAAUUCGUAGCUUUCUUUAGUUUUAAGUUAGUUUUCAUCUUAAGUUCGAAAAGAUUAUAAUAUUUCUUUAGUUUAGGUCCGUUUUUAAACUAUUUUUUCAAUGCCCUAAGCUCAUUAUGUUGAUUUUUGAAGAGUUCCCUGGAAUAUCUUCUACAUCUCAUUUUUGAAGAGAUUCCGCGAGAUCGGGAACUAUGUGGUUAAAACCAAAAAUUUGCCGGAAGUCACUAUUCCACGCGAACGAAGUCGCGGGCAAAAGCUAGUUCUAAAUAAAUUGGUUUCGUUGUAUUUGUCAAUUAAUAAGUUUAUUUGUUGGGUUUUCCUGGUUUUCUGGUUAAAUUAUUUAACGUAGGUUUAGUUUGAUAUCGAUUAUUAGUAGAUACUGUAGUUAGUUUUUUUAAUAAAAUUGUAAGUCUAAUUUAUUAAUUAAUUAGAUAGAUUAGAUUUAAGUCGUUUCUUUUAAAUUAUUUAGUUUAAGCUUGGUUAUUAUAGCAUAGAGGAUAGGUUGUAAUAUAAUUUAUUUUUUAAUUGUUAUAAAUUCGUAAUUCGUAGCUUUCUUUAGUUUUAAGUUAGUUUAAGUCCGUUUUUAAACUAUUUUUUCAAUGCCCUAAGUGAGUAUACAUCUAUUAAAUUCAAACGCAGAGCUCAUUAUGUUGAUUUUUGAAGAAUUUUCUGGAAUAUCUUCCACAUCUCAUUUUUGAAGAGAUCCCGCGAGAUCGGGAACUAUGUGGUUAAAACCAAAAAUUUGCCGGAAGUCACUAUUCCACGCGAACGAAGUCGCGGGCAAAAGCUAGUUCUAAAUAAAUUGGUUUCGUUGUAUUUGUCAAUUAAUAAGUUUAUUUGUUGGGUUUUCCUGGUUUUCUGGUUAAAUUAUUUAACGUAGGUUUAGUUUGAUAUCGAUUAUUAGUAGAUACUGUAGUUAGUUUUUUUAAUAAAAUUGUAAGUCUAAUUUAUUAAUUAAUUAGAUAGAUUAGAUUUAAGUCGUUUCUUUUAAAUUAUUUAGUUUAAGCUUGGUUAUUAUAGCAUAGAGGAUAGGUUGUAAUAUAAUUUAUUUUUUAAUUGUUAUAAAUUCGUAAUUCGUAGCUUUCUUUAGUUUUAAGUUAGUUUUCAUCUUAAGUUCGAAAAGAUUAUAAUAUUUCUUUAGUUUAGGUCCGUUUUUAAACUAUUUUUUCAAUGCCCUAAGCUCAUUAUGUUGAUUUUUGAAGAGUUCCCUGGAAUAUCUUCUACAUCUCAUUUUUGAAGAGAUUCCGCGAGAUCGGGAACUAUGUGGUUAAAACCAAAAAUUUGCCGGAAGUCACUAUUCCACGCGAACGAAGUCGCGGGCAAAAGCUAGUUCUA
Molecule: long non-coding RNA, 2421 nt
Organism: Spodoptera frugiperda (fall armyworm)
Lineage: Eukaryota; Metazoa; Arthropoda; Insecta; Lepidoptera; Noctuidae
Exons: 3
Source: RefSeq, a predicted model, not a curated record